CCGGAGCUUUGAUGGGUUGUAGCUGGCCUUCCGAGGCAUGUGCACGCCCUGCUCAUUCCACUCUACACCUGUGCACUUACUGUGGGUCUCAGGCGAGCGUCGGUCGCUUCGCGGCGUCGUCGUUCAACUGGGCUCACGUUUUACUACAAACUAUUAAAGUAUCAGAAUGUCUACUGCGAAUUAACGCAUUUAAAUACAACUUUCAGCAACGGAUCUCUUGGCUCUCGCAUCGAUGAAGAACGCAGCGAAAUGCGAUAAGUAAUGUGAAUUGCAGAAUUCAGUGAAUCAUCGAAUCUUUGAACGCACCUUGCGCUCCUUGGUAUUCCGAGGAGCAUGCCUGUUUGAGUGUCAUGAAAUUCUCAACCUAACGAGUCUUUGCGGGCUCGGUAGGCUUGGACUUGGAGGUUCUUGUCGGCCUAACGGUCGGCUCCUCUUAAAUGCAUUAGCUCGGUUCCUUGCGGAUCGGCUCACGGUGUGAUAAUUGUCUACGCCGCGACCGUUGAAGCGUUUUGGCCGGCUUCUAAUCGUCUCGUUGGAGACACUACUCUUUAUGACCUUCUGACCUCAAAUCAGGUAGGACUACCCGCUGAACUUAAGCAUAUCAAAGGC
This 609-nucleotide ribosomal RNA is filed under the name Lenzites betulinus. RNAcentral's name for it is "eukaryotic LSU rRNA". The stretch from base 198 to 351 matches the Rfam family "5.8S ribosomal RNA". Lineage: Eukaryota; Fungi; Basidiomycota; Agaricomycetes; Polyporales; Polyporaceae. The record is from RNAcentral.